Molecule: ribosomal RNA, 301 nt
Filed under: uncultured bacterium
Lineage: Bacteria
Description: partial 16S ribosomal RNA
Rfam family: Bacterial small subunit ribosomal RNA
Source: RNAcentral
CAGCAGCCACGGGAAUACGGAGGGUGCAAGCGUUAAUCGGAAUUACUUGGCGUAAAGCGCACGCAGGCGGUCUGUCAAGUCAGAUGUGAAAUCCCCGGGCUUAACCUGGGAACUGCAUUUGAAACUGGCAGGCUAGAGUCUUGUUGAGUGGGGUAGAAUUCCAGGUGUAGCGGUGAAAUGCGUAGAGAUCUGGAGGAAUACCGGUGGCGAAGGCGGCCCCCUGGACAAAGACUGACGCUCAGGUGCGAAAGCGUGGGGAGCAAACAGGAUUAGAUACCCCUGUAGUCCCUGUCUCUUAUAC